RNAcentral lists this ribosomal RNA (446 nucleotides) under uncultured bacterium. RNAcentral describes it as "partial 16S ribosomal RNA". It matches the Rfam family "Bacterial small subunit ribosomal RNA", at positions 331 to 793 of the family's 1533-position model. The record is from RNAcentral.
CCAGACUCCUACGGGAGGCAGCAGUGGGGGAUAUUGCACAAUGGGGGAAACCCUGAUGCAGCGACGCCGCGUGGGUGAAGGAGCACCUCGGUGCGUAAAGCCCUAUCGGCAGGGAAGAAACAGACGGUACCUGACUAAGAAGCCCCGGCUAACUACGUGCCAGCAGCCGCGGUAAUACGUAGGGGGCUAGCGUUAUCCGGAAUUACUGGGCGUAAAGGGUGCGUAGGUGGUUUCUUAAGUCAGAGGUGAAAGGCUACGGCUCAACCGUAGUAAGCCUUUGAAACUGGGGAACUUGAGUGCAGGAGAGGAGAGUGGAAUUCCUAGUGUAGCGGUGAAAUGCGUAGAUAUUAGGAGGAACACCAGUUGCGAAGGCGGCUCUCUGGACUGUAACUGACACUGAGGCACGAAAGCGUGGGGAGCAAACAGGAUUAGAUACCCUCGUACUG